CCCACGGUGGUCUAGCGGUCAGAACGCUGGCCUUGUAAUCCUGGGGUCUCGGGUUCGAUUCCCGGCGGUGUCA
Molecule: transfer RNA, 73 nt
Filed under: Zootermopsis nevadensis
Lineage: Eukaryota; Metazoa; Arthropoda; Insecta; Blattodea; Termopsidae
Rfam family: tRNA
About the family: Transfer RNA (tRNA) molecules are approximately 80 nucleotides in length. Their secondary structure includes four short double-helical elements and three loops (D, anti-codon, and T loops).
Source: Rfam by way of RNAcentral